GUGGCGAACGGGUGAGUAACACGUGAGUAACCUGCCCUUAACUCUGGGAUAAGCCUUGGAAACGGGGUCUAAUACUGGAUAUUGACUUUACCUCGCAUGGGGUUUUGUUGAAAGAUUUAUUGGUUUUGGAUGGACUCGCGGCCUAUCAGCUUGUUGGUGAGGUAAUGGCUCACCAAGGCGACGACGGGUAGCCGGCCUGAGAGGGUGACCGGCCACACUGGGACUGAGACACGGCCCAGACUCCUACGGGAGGCAGCAGUGGGGAAUAUUGCACAAUGGGCGAAAGCCUGAUGCAGCGACGCCGCGUGAGGGAUGACGGCCUUCGGGUUGUAAACCUCUUUCAGUAGGGAACAAGGCCAGCAUUUUUGUUGGUUGAGGGUACUUGCAGAAGAAGCGCCGGCUAACUACGUGCCAGCAGCCGCGGUAAUACGUAGGGCGCAAGCGUUAUCCGGAAUUAUUGGGCGUAAAGAGCUCGUAGGCGGUUUGUCGCGUCUGCCGUGAAAGUCCGGGGCUCAACUCCGGAUCUGCGGUGGGUACGGGCAGACUAGAGUGAUGUAGGGGAGACUGGAAUUCCUGGUGUAGCGGUGAAAUGCGCAGAUAUCAGGAGGAACACCGAUGGCGAAGGCAGGUCUCUGGGCAUUAACUGACGCUGAGGAGCGAAAGCAUGGGGAGCGAACAGGAUUAGAUACCCUGGUAGUCCAUGCCGUAAACGUUGGGCACUAGGUGUGGGGGACAUUCCACGUUUUCCGCGCCGUAGCUAACGCAUUAAGUGCCCCGCCUGGGGAGUACGGCCGCAAGGCUAAAACUCAAAGGAAUUGACGGGGGCCCGCACAAGCGGCGGAGCAUGCGGAUUAAUUCGAUGCAACGCGAAGAACCUUACCAAGGCUUGACAUGAACUGGAAAUACCUGGAAACAGGUGCCCCGCUUGCGGUCGGUUUACAGGUGGUGCAUGGUUGUCGUCAGCUCGUGUCGUGAGAUGUUGGGUUAAGUCCCGCAACGAGCGCAACCCUCGUUCUAUGUUGCCAGCACGUAAUGGUGGGGACUCAUAGGAGACUGCCGGGGUCAACUCGGAGGAAGGUGAGGACGACGUCAAAUCAUCAUGCCCCUUAUGUCUUGGGCUUCACGCAUGCUACAAUGGCCGGUACAAUGGGUUGCGAUACUGUGAGGUGGAGCUAAUCCCAAAAAGCCGGUCUCAGUUCGGAUUGGGGUCUGCAACUCGACCCCAUGAAGUCGGAGUCGCUAGUAAUCGCAGAUCAGCAACGCUGCGGUGAAUACGUUCCCGGGCCUUGUACACACCGCCCGUCAAGUCACGAAAGUUGGUAACACCCGAAGCCGGUGGCCUA
Molecule: ribosomal RNA, 1343 nt
Filed under: Arthrobacter alpinus
Lineage: Bacteria; Bacillati; Actinomycetota; Actinomycetes; Micrococcales; Micrococcaceae
Description: bacterial SSU rRNA
Rfam family: Bacterial small subunit ribosomal RNA
Source: RNAcentral